UACAGAGGGUGCAAGCGUUGUCCGGAUUUAUUGGGCGUAAAGAGCGUGUAGGCGGCCAGGUAGGUCUGGUGUGAAAACUCGAGGCUCAACCUCGAGAGGUCAUCGGAAACCAUCUGGCUAGAGUCCGGAAGAGGAGAGUGGAAUUCCCGGUGUAGCGGUGAAAUGCGCAGAUAUCGGGAAGAACACCUAUGGCGAAGGCAGCUCUCUGGGACGGUACUGACGCUGAGACGCGAAAGCGUGGGGAGCGAACAGG
This 253-nucleotide ribosomal RNA is filed under the name uncultured bacterium. Its description in RNAcentral is "partial 16S ribosomal RNA". It matches the Rfam family "Bacterial small subunit ribosomal RNA", at positions 524 to 776 of the family's 1533-position model. The record is from RNAcentral.